CGGCCAUAUUAACAUUGAAACGCCGGUUAUCGUCCGAUAAUCGAAGUUAAACCACAUCGAGCCUAGUUAGUAGCUAGAUGCAUGACCGCUUGGGAAUACCGUGUGC
Acanthosepion pharaonis is the source of this 106-nucleotide non-coding RNA. Lineage: Eukaryota; Metazoa; Mollusca; Cephalopoda; Sepiida; Sepiidae. The record is from the annotation of a GenBank genome assembly.